Molecule: ribosomal RNA, 218 nt
Filed under: uncultured Enterobacterales bacterium
Lineage: Bacteria; Pseudomonadati; Pseudomonadota; Gammaproteobacteria; Enterobacterales
Description: partial 16S ribosomal RNA
Rfam family: Bacterial small subunit ribosomal RNA
Source: RNAcentral
AGUCUGGGAAACUGCCUGAUGGAGGGGGAGUAACUACUGGAAACGGUAGCUAAUACCGCAUAAUGUCGCAAGACCAAAGUGGGGGACCUUCGGGCCUCAUGCCAUCAGAUGUGCCCAGAUGGGAUUAGCUAGUAGGUGGGGUAAUGGCUCACCUAGGCGACGAUCCCUAGCUGGUCUGAGAGGAUGAUCAGCCACACUGGAACUGAGACACGGUCCAG